RNAcentral lists this ribosomal RNA (253 nucleotides) under uncultured bacterium. RNAcentral describes it as "partial 16S ribosomal RNA". It matches the Rfam family "Bacterial small subunit ribosomal RNA", at positions 524 to 776 of the family's 1533-position model. The record is from RNAcentral.
UACGAAGGGGGCUAGCGUUGCUCGGAAUCACUGGGCGUAAAGCGCACGUAGGCGGCGCCGUAAGUCAGGGGUGAAAUCCCGGAGCUCAACUCCGGAACUGCCCUUGAAACUGCAGUGCUAGAAUCUUGGAGGGGCGAGUGGAAUUCCGAGUGUAGAGGUGAAAUUCGUAGAUAUUCGGAAGAACACCAGUGGCGAAGGCGACUCGCUGGACAAGUAUUGACGCUGAGGUGCGAAAGCGUGGGGAGCAAACAGG